CAACAAUGAACAUGUCAUCUAGACAGAAAUCAAUAAGGAAACACUGGACUUGAAACGCACAUUAGAUCAAAUGGACCUAAAUGUUCUUGAAAUUAAUCUUGGCAAUAAUUUAUUGGUGAUGAUCUCAAUAGCACAGGAAACCAAAGCAGAAAUAGACAAAUGGGAUUACCUCAAACCAAAAACCUUCUGUAUAACAAAGUAAAUAACGGAUUGAAGAGACAACCCAUGGACUGGGAGAAAAUAUUUACAAACCAUACAUGGCUAAUAUCCAAAAUAUGUAAGAAAUGCAAACAACUUAAAUUUGUUAGCAAGAAAAC
This 317-nucleotide long non-coding RNA is filed under the name Homo sapiens (human). RNAcentral describes it as "non-protein coding lnc-OR2J1-1:3". The record is from RNAcentral. Lineage: Eukaryota; Metazoa; Chordata; Mammalia; Primates; Hominidae.